This is a ribosomal RNA of 1779 nucleotides. It matches the Rfam family "Eukaryotic small subunit ribosomal RNA", at positions 43 to 1413 of the family's 1831-position model.
AAAAAGUCCUGGUCUAGUAUAGCAAUUUAUACAGUGAAACUGCGAAUGGCUCAUUAAAUCAGUUAUCGUUUAUUUGAUAGUUCCUUUACUACAUGGUAUAACUGUGGUAAUUCUAGAGCUAAUACAUGCUUAAAAUCUCGACCUCUUGGAAGAGAUGUAUUUAUUAGAUAAAAAAUCAAUGUCUUCGGACUUUUUGAUGAUUCAUAAUAACUUUUCGAAUCGCAUGGCCUUGUGCUGGCGAUGGUUCAUUCAAAUUUCUGCCCUAUCAACUUUCGAUGGUAGGAUAGUGGCCUACCAUGGUUUCAACGGGUAACGGGGAAUAAGGGUUCGAUUCCGGAGAGGGAGCCUGAGAAACGGCUACCACAUCCAAGGAAGGCAGCAGGCGCGCAAAUUACCCAAUCCUGACACAGGGAGGUAGUGACAAUAAAUAACGAUACAGGGCCCAUUCGGGUCUUGUAAUUGGAAUGAGUACAAUGUAAAUACCUUAACGAGGAACAAUUGGAGGGCAAGUCUGGUGCCAGCAGCCGCGGUAAUUCCAGCUCCAAUAGCGUAUAUUAAAGUUGUUGCAGUUAAAAAGCUCGUAGUUGAACUUUGGGCCUGGGUGGCCGGUCCGAUUUUUUCGUGUACUGGAAUGCACCCGGGCCUUUCCUUCUGGCUAACCCCAAGUCCUUGUGGCUUGGCGGCGAACCAGGACUUUUACUUUGAAAAAAUUAGAGUGUUCAAAGCAGGCGUAUUGCUCGAAUAUAUUAGCAUGGAAUAAUGGAAUAGGACGUUUGGUUCUAUUUUGUUGGUUUCUAGGACCAUCGUAAUGAUUAAUAGGGACGGUCGGGGGCAUCAGUAUUCAAUUGUCAGAGGUGAAAUUCUUGGAUUUAUUGAAGACUAACUACUGCGAAAGCAUUUGCCAAGGACGUUUUCAUUAAUCAAGAACGAAAGUUAGGGGAUCGAAGAUGAUCAGAUACCGUCGUAGUCUUAACCAUAAACUAUGCCGACUAGGGAUCGGGGGGGUGUUUUUUUAGUGACCCACUCGGCACCUUACGAGAAAUCAAAGUCUUUGGGUUCUGGGGGGGAGUAUGGUCGCAAGGCUGAAACUUAAAGGAAUUGACGGAAGGGCACCCCCAGGAGUGGAGCCUGCGGCUUAAUUUGACUCAACACGGGGAAACUCACCAGGUCCAGACCCAAUAAGGAUUGACAGAUUGAAACUCUUUCUUGAUUUUUGGGGGGGGGGUGCAGGGCCGUUCUUAAUUGGGGGGAGGGAUUUGUCUGGUUUAUUUGCGAAACCGACAAGAACCUUAACCUUCUAAAAAAUGGGGGCUACAAUUUGCGGGGUGUGCCCUUCUUUAAAGGAGAUUUCCGGUUUCAACCCCCAAGGAGAUUUGGAGGGAAUAAACGGUUUUGGAAGCUCUUUAAAUUUUUUGGGGCCCCCCGGCUCUUUUAGGAGGACCGGAGUUUAACUUUCGCGAAGGCUGGGGUUUUUGGGACAAUCCCCUGGCGGGGAAAAAAAAUAAAAUUUGUCUUCUCAAAGAUCAUAAAAAGAGAAAAACACCGGGGGUAAAAUCCCCCCCUCUUCCCCCCGCCCCCCCCCCAAGGGGUUAGGGGCGUUCUUUAAAAGGGUCCCAAAAGGGGGGAUAAGGGGGAAAAAUGAAGUUAUAAUGAAACCAGGAAGAAUAGAAGAAAGGGGGGGGGGGGGUUUUAGGGGUGAAAGGGGGGACGGGAAAGAAGAAAAUAGAAACUGAAAUAAAAAAACAAACCCAAAAAACCAAAAAUUGGGGGUUUUGAAGA